UUUUAUUCUAUUUUUUCUACUUCUCUUGGAUUUGGGUAUUUUGUGUAGUUGUAUCUUGAUGUUGUUAAGAUUUACUUAUCAGGAAUCUCUCACAAUCGGUUGAUUUUACUUUCAAUUUGUACUCGGAUCAUGCGACUUUGGUGUUGAAGGUGCAUACAGGCUGAUUCGGCGAUCUAGGGUUCGGUCGACGGUUUCAAGGGUCAUGUUGUCAUCAAAGUUCGUUGCCAGGUACAAACUUUCAUGUUGGUGAUGACAUGUAGGAGAGUAGGAAAAGCUUCAAAAAAUUCAAGCAUAAUUAGAGAGAGAACGAGAGGCCUGACAAAACAUAGAAUCCCGUUUUGAAAAAUUUCAACAAGAGCGCGAAAAAGAGCGGACUGACCAAGCGGCAUGGCAAAAAACUACGGAAGAAAAACUGAAAAACAACGAAAAUAAGUAAAAACUUUCGUCUUGUUAAGUAUUGAAAUGUUAAAGAUUGGAUGAAUGCUUUUAAUAAGGAUUUU
This 500-nucleotide long non-coding RNA is filed under the name Helianthus annuus (common sunflower). Lineage: Eukaryota; Viridiplantae; Streptophyta; Magnoliopsida; Asterales; Asteraceae. The record is from RNAcentral.